CAAGAAAUAAGCUGUCUUAAUUAAAUAUAUUGAAUUUAACUUUUAAGUGAAAAGGCUUAGAUAAUCUGGAGGGACGAUAAGACCCUAUAAAACUUUAUAUUUAUAAAUGGUAGUUAAUUUUAUUUUAGAAUAUUAUUUUGGAAUAUUUGGUUGGGGUGACAAGGAUAAAAUAUGAAAUAACUGUCUUUUUUUUUUUACAGUGAUAUUUGGUUUAGUGAUCCUGAAAUGGAUUAUAAGAUUAAGUUACUUUAGGGAUAACAGCGUAAUUUUCUUUGAGAGUUCU
Molecule: ribosomal RNA, 283 nt
Filed under: Fallicambarus petilicarpus
Lineage: Eukaryota; Metazoa; Arthropoda; Malacostraca; Decapoda; Cambaridae
Description: partial 16S ribosomal RNA
Source: RNAcentral